This 315-nucleotide ribosomal RNA is filed under the name uncultured eukaryote. RNAcentral describes it as "partial 18S ribosomal RNA". It matches the Rfam family "Eukaryotic small subunit ribosomal RNA", at positions 1470 to 1796 of the family's 1831-position model. The record is from RNAcentral.
CCCUUAGAUGUUCUGGGCUGCACGCGCGCUACACUGACGCACGCAACAGGUGCCUGCUCCGAGAGGACUGGGUAAUCAUUUGAGUGUGCGUCGUGAUGGGGAUAGAAUAUUGUAAUUAUUACUCUUCAACGAGGAAUUCCUAGUAAGCGCCAGUCAGCAGCUUGCGCUGAUUACGUCCCUGCCCUUUGUACACACCGCCCGUCGCUCCUACCGAUGGGUGAUCCGGUGAAUGAUUCGGACUUCAGCGGCUCCCCUGGGGUGCGCCGGAGAAAGUUUUGUGAACCUUAUCACUUGGAGGGAGGAGAAGUCGUAACA